Musa acuminata subsp. malaccensis (wild Malaysian banana) is the source of this 198-nucleotide non-coding RNA. The record is from Rfam. NCBI's taxonomy places the organism in Eukaryota, Viridiplantae, Streptophyta, Magnoliopsida, Zingiberales, Musaceae.
AUACCUUUCUCGGCCUUUUGGCUAAGAUCAAGUGUAGUAUCUGUUCUUAUCAGUUUAAUAUCUGAUACGUGGAUCAUCGAUCCACUAUGAUAUUAAAUUAAUUUUUUGUUGGGGGAGGGCCCAUCACGGGAGCUUGCUGCCGGGGCCCUCGCGCGUCGCCCAUGCGUUGCGCUACUGCACGGGCCUGGCGCACCUGAC